GGAGACUUCGACUCAGCUGGCGUGGGAUCGAUGCGCCGUCGCGUCGUUCCUCCAAGCUGUAUGUCAGAGGAGCAAUUCCAUUUGGAUGAGAUCUGCACUGGAUGAUGGCACCUUCAUCUCUAGACCUCCUGAUCCAUUGUCGUGUUGGACUGUCGAGAAUUCGACUGUCGACGGGUGCCGUAGACCAGGGUGCUGACUGCUGAGUGUUGGUGAUGCUUGGCCCCGUCGACGACGGAUACAUAUGCUUCUCGACUCAGCCACCGGCAAGUCACUCUUCAGGUUUUGUGCUUGCUCUGGCCUGGAGGCAAAUGGAUACCGCAUCUUCCUUUUCUGGUUUCUGUGUAGGUAUCUCUGAUGAUAAGGCCUUAUUAGACAGAGAUUAGUCGAGGAAGAUUGAAUUUCCAAAUCCCAAGUAGGAUUCUUGUUUUGAUAUCUUGAAGAUCCAUUCAAGGUAAUGAACUUGAUGCACAUAUUGCCUUCGUCCUGGAAACAAUGAUUUGAACUGCAUUGGCUACUGGAUUGUCGAGUCAGUUGCCAAGAAGAUGCUUAAAUAGGAUUGUCUGCUUGCUGUUCCUUCAUCCACAAUACUUCCAUAAAAUGAUUUUGUUGAUUCAAAAUUGCAUGAGCUGCAGCUUGGUAUUUUCAACGCCCCUCAGUGUCCAUUAGGCAAGCUCAAAGUUAAUUGUGGGUAUCACUGGGGAUGUGAUUUGUUUUGGUUUUUUGAUUUUCUGAGAACAUAUAUGGAUAUAGCUGUACGGACAACAUAUGUGGAUAUAGUUGUACAGGCAGUAAAUCUAAUAUCUUGUGCUUA
Long non-coding RNA from Panicum virgatum (switchgrass), 811 nucleotides. RefSeq lists it as uncharacterized. The record is from RefSeq and is a predicted model, not a curated record. The transcript has 4 exons. NCBI's taxonomy places the organism in Eukaryota, Viridiplantae, Streptophyta, Magnoliopsida, Poales, Poaceae.